GAUGAAGAACGCAGCGAAAUGCGAUACGUAAUGUGAAUUGCAGAAUUCAGUGAAUCAUCGAGUCUUUGAACGCACAUUGCGCCCCCUGGUAUUCCGGGGGGCAUGCCUGUCCGAGCGUCAUUGCUGCCCUCAAGCACGGCUUGUGUGUUGGGCCUCCGUCCUCCUCCCGGGGGACGGGCCCGAAAGGCAGCGGCGGCACCGCGUCCGGUCCUCGAGCGUAUGGGGCUUCGUCACCCGCUCUUGUAGGCCCGGCCGGCGCUUGCCGACACAUCAAUCUUUUUUCCAGGUUGACCUCGGAUCAGGUAGGGAUACCCGCUGAACUUACGCAUAUCAAUAAGCGGAGGA
RNAcentral lists this unclassified non-coding RNA (345 nucleotides) under soil metagenome. RNAcentral's name for it is "partial contains 5.8S ribosomal RNA, internal transcribed spacer 2, and large subunit ribosomal RNA". The stretch from base 1 to 120 matches the Rfam family "5.8S ribosomal RNA", at positions 35 to 154 of the family's 154-position model. The record is from RNAcentral.